This 304-nucleotide unclassified non-coding RNA is filed under the name Hevea brasiliensis (rubber tree). The record is from RNAcentral. Lineage: Eukaryota; Viridiplantae; Streptophyta; Magnoliopsida; Malpighiales; Euphorbiaceae.
AAGCAGCUUGCAAAAUCCACAAUGUUGCAAUUUGAAAAUAAAUAAUGAAAUGAUCACGUAGACGACUUAGUCCAGCGCUUCAAUGAGGAUGCUGCCACUCCUAGCAUGUUGAUGCCUUUUUGAGGUUCAUUAGGAGAAAAUCUGGGAGGAAACACUCGAGGAAUGGUGGUGGGCUUUAGAAACUUCAGAGACAGAGUUUGAGAUGUGGAGGCGAGACUGUGGAACAAUACAAAGAGAGUGAUGGGUAGAAAAGGAAAUGCAUGGGUUUAGCUUAGGGCUGUGAGAGUAAGGAAUUGAGUAUGUG